GACGAACGCUGGCGGCGUGCUUAACACAUGCAAGUCGAACGGGCCCGCCCCUGUUUUUGGGGGUGGGUUGAGUGGCGAACGGGUGAGUAUCACGUGAGUAACCUGCCCCCUGCUCCUGGAUAACUGCUUGAAAGGGCGGCUAAUACGGGGUGUGCCGGCUGGUCCGCAUGGGCCUGGUCGGGAUAGUUUCAUCUUCGGGUGUUUCGGUGGGGGAUGGGCUCGCGGCCUAUCAGCUUGUUGGUGGGGUGAUGGCCCACCAAGGCGGUGACGGGUAGCCGGCCUGAGAGGGUGGGCGGCCACACUGGGACUGAGGCACGGCCCAGACUCCUGCGGGAGGCAGCAGUGGGGGGUAUUGCACAAUGGGCGGAAGCCUGAUGCAGCGACGUCGCGUGAGGGAUGGAGGCCGUCGGGUUGUGAACCUCUUUCUCCGGUGGUGAAGGCCCUGUCCGUUGCGGCGGGGUUGACGGUAGCCGGGGAUGAAGCGCCGGCUAACUACGUG
This 499-nucleotide ribosomal RNA is filed under the name uncultured bacterium. Its description in RNAcentral is "partial 16S ribosomal RNA". It matches the Rfam family "Bacterial small subunit ribosomal RNA", at positions 28 to 507 of the family's 1533-position model. The record is from RNAcentral.